RNAcentral lists this ribosomal RNA (460 nucleotides) under uncultured bacterium. Its description in RNAcentral is "partial 16S ribosomal RNA". It matches the Rfam family "Bacterial small subunit ribosomal RNA", at positions 338 to 795 of the family's 1533-position model. The record is from RNAcentral.
CCUACGGGUGGCUGCAGUGAGGAAUAUUGGUCAAUGGACGAGAGUCUGAACCAGCCAAGUAGCGUGAAGGAUGACUGCCCUAUGGGUUGUAAACUUCUUUUAUAAAGGAAUAAAACGAGGCACGUGUGCCUUUUUGCAUGUACUUUAUGAAUAAGGAUCGGCUAACUCCGUGCCAGCAGCCGCGGUAAUACGGAGGAUCCGAGCGUUAUCCGGAUUUAUUGGGUUUAAAGGGAGCGUAGAUGGGUUGUUAAGUCAGUUGUGAAAGUUUGCGGCUCAACCGUAAAAUUGCAAGUGAUACUGGCAGUCGUGAGUACAGUUGAGGUAGGCGGAAUUCGUGGUGUAGCGGUGAAAUGCUUAGAUAUCACGAAGAACCCCGAUUGCGAAGGCAGCUUACUAAACUGUGACUGACAUUGAUGCUCGAAAGUGUGGGUAUCACACAGGAUUAGAUACCCUAGUAGUC